AACGCAUCUUGCGCUCCCUGGUAUUCCGGGGAGCACGCCUGUUCGAGUGUCGUGAAAUUAUCAAGAUGUGGAUGCUUUUUUUGUUAAAGUGUUCUCAGCUUGGUUGUUGGGCUUUGCCGUGUCCCCUUUGGGGUGACGGCUGGCCUUAAAAGCAUUAGCUGAUCCUUAUACGGCAUUGGUUCUACUCAGCGUGAUAAUAAUCUGACCGCCGAGGACAUCCUUCGGGGUGGCCAAUUCUCAUUUGGGUUGCUCUCUAAUCUGGUUUAUGGGUUGCUAGUAACAAUCUGUUCCAUUUUUCAAAUUUGACCUCGAAUCAGGUGGGACUACCCGCUGAACUUAA
RNAcentral lists this unclassified non-coding RNA (340 nucleotides) under uncultured Clavulina. Its description in RNAcentral is "sequence contains ITS2". Lineage: Eukaryota; Fungi; Basidiomycota; Agaricomycetes; Cantharellales; Hydnaceae. The record is from RNAcentral.